UGUCUAUUAAUUGUAGACCAGUAUGAAAGGCAAAAUGAGGGUUUAUCUGUCUCUUACAAUUAAUCAAUUAAACUGAUCUUCUAGUAAAAAAGCUAGAAUACACACAUAAGACCAGAAGACCCUGUGAAGCUUAAACUAAAGUAUUAAAUCCUAUAAUACCAACUUUCGGUUGGGGCGACCUUGGAAAAAAAAAGAACUUCCAAAUAUAUGACCACACUCACAUACAGGCCAACAAGCCUCCCAAUAGACCCAGUACACCUGACAAUUGAACCAAGUUACUCCAGGGAUAACAGCGCCAUCUUCUUCAAGAGUCCAUAUCAAAAAGAAGGUUUACGACCUCGAUGUUGGAUCAGGACAUCCUAAUGGUGUA
This 370-nucleotide ribosomal RNA is filed under the name Dipsas indica. RNAcentral's name for it is "partial 16S ribosomal RNA". It matches the Rfam family "Bacterial large subunit ribosomal RNA", at positions 1970 to 2557 of the family's 2925-position model. The record is from RNAcentral. Lineage: Eukaryota; Metazoa; Chordata; Lepidosauria; Squamata; Dipsadidae.